GAUGAAGAACGUAGCGAAAUGCGAUACUUGGUGUGAAUUGCAGAAUCCCGUGAACCAUCGAGUCUUUGAACGCAAGUUGCGCCCGAAGCCAUUAGGCCGAGGGUACGCCUGCCUGGGCGUCACACGUCGUUGCCCCCCCAUCUACUCCUUCGGGAUUGCGGGGGGCGGAUGAUGGCCUCCCGUGCGCCUCGUCGCGCGGUUGGCAUAAAUACCAAGUCCUCGGCGACGCACGCCACGACAAUCGGUGGUUGCGAAACCUCGGUUGCCCGUCGUGUGCGGUCGUCGCGCAUCGAGGGCUCGAAAAAAUUGCCGGGCUCCGGCUCGGCUUUCAACGCGACCCCAGGUCAGGCGGGGUUACCCGCUGAAUUUAAGCAUAUCAAUAAGCGGAGGA
RNAcentral lists this unclassified non-coding RNA (391 nucleotides) under soil metagenome. RNAcentral's name for it is "partial contains 5.8S ribosomal RNA, internal transcribed spacer 2, and large subunit ribosomal RNA". The stretch from base 1 to 122 matches the Rfam family "5.8S ribosomal RNA", at positions 35 to 154 of the family's 154-position model. The record is from RNAcentral.